AAAAACCUCCUCCAAAACCUGAAGAUUUUGGUUCAUCACUGGAGUGAUGGGCUGGUGUUGGAUGUGCCCAGCAAUUUUGGGAAUGUCUGGUUUUCCUUGUGAUUGCAGCACCAAGGUUCUGACUCUGCUCCUUGGGAACCUUCCUCAUCCAGAUCACAGGGAUUUCCAAAAUUGCAGCAUUCCCUCAAAGCUGAAAAUAAAUCUCCAGAAAUCUCUUGGAAAACUGAAGAUGAAUCUCCAAAAACCUCCUCCAAAGCUGAUGAUCACUACCAUUACUGAGCGCAGGACAUGGAGGGUUCACCUCAGUGCCAGGAGCAGCCUCAUCCCUGCUUGUACAAAUUGACCUGCAGAUGAAUUAAAUCUCUUUUUUUCCCUGCUGUGACACCGUGACAGGGGUUAGAAAUCAACCCAGGUCUCUGAACCACAAGGAUUCUUUCACCCUCUCCAUUUCUCAACUGCUGGUAAUUACACUUAGAAAAGCUCUGGG
RNAcentral lists this long non-coding RNA (487 nucleotides) under Junco hyemalis (dark-eyed junco). Its description in RNAcentral is "lncRNA (ENSJHYG00000001181.1)". Lineage: Eukaryota; Metazoa; Chordata; Aves; Passeriformes; Passerellidae. The record is from RNAcentral.